Molecule: long non-coding RNA, 5975 nt
Filed under: Canis lupus familiaris (dog)
Lineage: Eukaryota; Metazoa; Chordata; Mammalia; Carnivora; Canidae
Description: lncRNA (ENSCAFG00000055186.1)
Source: RNAcentral
UUUUUGUUUUAUUUUAAAUUAAUUUUAUUUUUUGCUCAGGGGCCACCUUAAGAAAUAGAUUGGGGGGGGGGUGUGGUAUUGGCUUUUGCUGUAUGAUUGACUGUGUGUCCUGAUUAUUUGCCAAGUCUUAUUAAAAGUCCCUGAGAUCACUCAGUACCUUGGCCCUUACACCCCAUCAUCCAUCAAUUCAGAAUGUCAAACCUGAUUACCAGGACUCUCUCUGAAGCCCCUUCUAAGCCAUUAGUGAGGGAAAGCUGUGUCUUGGUGCCUGCAUGAUGUAAAUGCACCUCAUCAAGGCUUCCAACUCCAGGGCAACUCAUUAUGCUUCAGAAUAGCAUUGACAAUGUUAACCUCCUAAACCAAGGGGACAUUUGCAAUUUUAAAUUUGAACUUAUUAGGGGGAUUUUGUUUACUUUUGUCUUCAUUGUUACUACAUCCUACCAAAAGGCAACUUCAAUUCAAAUUCUAAAUUAUAUACUUAGUUCACAAAAACAGGUUAAAUGAUGUUUAAACAGCAAACAAGAAUGUAACUGAAUCUCAAUGAAAAUCACUCAAAACAGAAACUACAUAAAAGGGAUUCUUCACAAUUUGCCUACUUUCCAAAAAAUUUCUAACCUUGGGAAUUAGCUAAAUUUAGUUACAUCAGAUUCAGUUCUCACUAAUCCACUAUAAUAAGGAUGACUUGCAAACACAAGGAUGGUGUUGAUUGGUUUUGGUAGUUUCAUUGAGUGAUGAGGGGGAUUACAGGUGAAAAUACACUGCUUAGGAGCAACUCACAUCUGUGUCCGUUGAUAUGCUCCAGAAUUGAGUGUGUACUAUCAGUAAAAUACCUAACUUGAAAUGGCUGUGGCUCUUCAUGUGAAGAAAAUAUGGUAAAUAAAGGUACUUAAAUCUCUCUACUACCCCUUACAAGCCCCUUUAGAUCUGCUACUUCCAUAGCAACAGUAGCAGCAUUAGCAAUGCAAUAUAUCUUUAAAAAAUUCAGUUUACUGUGAUGUCAUUUACAACACCUACUGAGGAUAUUUGUACUCAGUUGGCUGUUACUGAAAACACCUACCUAAAUUCCCUGGUACAGGGCCACAGGCGGCCUAUAAAAUCCUUGACCUCUGGGGACUUGCAUGCUCUUUGGGGACCUGCCACUUUCAUUCAGAUAUUUUUUAAAAGUGACCAGUUUUAAUGGUCCUUCAGUGCUUCUGAGCAAAGUGCAAAUGGUUGUCCUGAAAGUUCAAGAUCACAUUAAACUUGACCUUAUCUCAAAUCCUAACCUUUUGCAGCUGACUCCAAAUGGCUCCCCAACAUACUCUGCACUUUUUUUGCCCUAAGCUAAAACUUUCAUUCUCAUUACUCAUUUUCUUUUCCUGAAAAGUCAGAAGCUACCAAUUCCCCAUCUUGUGUUUAAAUGAUAAAUAAGUUGCUCCUGGUAGCCAAGCUAAGAAAUCCUUAGAGCUGGACUUUAGUACGUCUCUCUAGGGCUCUACAGUUGCAACCUCCAUGCUCUGUCUGCCACGUUCAUUUUGAACAUAUGCAUGCAUAUUGAAAUCUGCACUAUGAGAUCAGGACUUUCUUUCAAGAAAAGGCAGUGUUCUGUUUUGUUUUGUAUCACCCAUAGUAAACAUUCAUUGUUGGAGAAGUGAAUGACUCAGUCAGAUUGGAAGCCAAAGAUCCCACAGCCAGUAGGUGUUUCACACUGCUUUAGGGGGUAGGGGUGGAGAGCUCUAUUGGAAGCUGAGUUUCUCUUAGUUUCUAAACAGAAUUAGGGCUCUGGGAGGACCAGCCCACUUAAAUUGGACAAUCGGGGUUGCUAAUUCCUUAUGUGCCUGGUAGUUGAUCAACGUAGCCUUUUAUGCUCUUUAUAUGUCACCAUGUUUAUAAGAGAAUAUCUAUUGGAACUCAAACAUCUAAAGAUGUUCUCCCUGAACCUUCCUGGCUUGGACAAACUUCCUGAAUCCCAGGGUUCAAGAGUGAACCUAGUUACCUUCCUAGUGAUAUGACUGGCAAAUAUGUCAUCACUUGAUGACAGAAACUGAUGUUAGAAGCUGUUUGUUUAUUAAUUCAUUUUUAUUCAACAAAUAUAUAAAUUUAGUAGUGUCAUGUUCUAAGUGCAUCACUAACACUAACUCACAUAAACUCCGUGCUGCCCUUAGAAGUAUUUGAAAUAAUUACUCAUUUUUUGGGUAGACAAACAGGUAAAAUUAAGUGAUGAUUUUUUUUCUGUCUCAGAUUUCUUUGUUCCAGAGAAUAUAUUUCUAAAUUUUACAUAGAUGUGUUAUGGGUUCUACCAGUGGGGUUUUACAUAAAAUCCCAGAUGAAAAACAGUCACUAGUGAAUCUGCUGAUUGAAGCAGGGAUCGUGGGCCAAGGUUACUCCGAUUUCAGAGGCAUCUUCCUCUGUACCUCAUGCAGCAUGUCUAAGGACCUCUUUAUAGAUGCUUACAAAUUACUGAGGACCUCAAUGAGCCUUUGAUUAUGUGAUUUGUCAAUAUUUAGUGGGGCAGAAAUCUUUAAAGUUGGAGAAUAUUUGUUAACUCUUUAAAAAAAUGAAUAGUAAUCCAUUACAUGUUAAUAUAAUAAUUAACAUUAAUGUUAAUAUAAACAUUCUUUUAAUGAAAAUAACUAUAUUUUCUGAAAUUAAAAAAUGGGGGAAACAGUGACAUUGUUCCAUUUUUGUAAGUCUUUGUAAUGUUUCUCUUAAUAGAAGACUGCAAUUCUCAUAUCUGCUUCUGCAUUCACUCUCUCCUGCAGUAAGUUGGUUUGGCGGAAGUCUAUCCAGAUGAACCAGUCUCACACAUGGGUAGCUGGAAAAGAAAGGACUGCAUUCAUAACUUAUACAGAUCCCUGUGGAUAUUCUUUGGUAGUUUCUGAAAGGUUAGUUGCAAUGGUCUUCUCAUGUUCUAUUAAACUUCAUCGCUCAAAGUUCUUCUUCAAAUCUGAGUGGAUCUACUAUGGAUGCAUGACUCCUAUCAUCUUGCGUUAGUCACUGAUAGAGUAUUAUUCACUGAAUUAUGCAGAUCUUCUAGAUGUUGACAGACUUCAGUAUGCAAUAUCAAAAAGUCAUAUUUGUGAAUAUCAUCACCAAUCUUAUCGGAAAAGUCUUUCUGAUAUUGGGAGACUGUCAAGCAUACAGUAGGGGAUAAAGGUUUUUCAAAAUUUUAAUUUUUAUUUGAAAGGUCAAAUUUUACCGCUGGACCAAAUUCUGUCAGUUAUCUUCCUUGAAGUGACAGGCUUACCUUGAAUCGUUUUUAAGAAAACAUCUGCUAAAUAUCUAUAGUCUCAAUAAUCAGUUUUACUAUUCAUUGCCCUUUAAAGUAAAAGUAGUGUUCCAUUAAAAACAAACACAAAAUAAAACCCAAUAAUUCAGCUUACAACUCAACUGCACAGUGCUCUUCCUUGACACACUCAUCCUAUUUGUGAAUGCUCCCAAAUUAUUUUGUGUGAACUUCCCAUUUCUUCACAUAGAGUAUUAAGAAGACAUGUGUUUAAGGAUGGAGAUUUAAUAAAAUUAAUAGUCUUAUGGCUGCAUAAGGGACAUUCUCAAGUUGCUUUUUCCUAUGUGUGUGUGACAGUGGAGAAUACAUUAUAACACUUGUGCAAUACGAGUGUGACUGGGUCCCAGGUCCCUAUUUGUGCUAAGGCACCAGUAGUUUACCCAUCAUUGCAAAUGUCAAAGUAGUGAAGCAGGCAAAGAACAUGUUAGUAUUAUUGUGAAAAUACUUUUGACAUUGCAUGUCCCUACAAGAAUCUGGGAGACCCUCAGGGGUCUCGGGCUACAUGUUGAGAAUGGUUGCUCUUUGGCAUUAGGAUUCAAAGUUUGUUAUGGGUUCACAUCAUGUUAGAAGACAAGAGAAGUUUAGACAGAAUGGUUCCAUCAGGGUCGCAUGCAGAGAGCAAAGUCCAGAACUUCCAAAGCUCUGCCUUCCAGACCCACCCCAUCUCCAUCUCUGGUGACCCACCAAGCACCAGUCUUGCUAACUUUCCUAGGUCUUUUUACAGAGGGCCAUCUAACUGACCUUGCUGUCAGCAUCUCACACAAAGUACAACAGUGCUGGAAAAGAAACAAAUGGUUCACCUUUUUAAAACUCCCAGUGUAUGGGACUCCUGGGUGGCUCAGUGUUUGAGCAUCUCCCUCUGGCUCAGGGCGUGAUCCUGGGGUCCUGGGAUGGAGUCCCACAUCAGGCUCCCAGAAGGGAGCCUACUUCUCCUUCUGUUUCUCUCUCUGCUCCUCAUCCCACCUGUGCUCACUCACUGUCAUGCUCACUCUCUCAAAUAAAUAAAUAAGAUCUUAAAAAAAAAAAAAAACCUCCCAGUGUGGGUGACAGGAAACCAUCAUAACUUCUAAGUGGUUAUGUGAGUUUUAUUCUUUUUUUGGAUAGACGACAUUUGGUUCUGAACAAGUAAUUUUAGAUAUCUCAGAUUAUUAUAAAAAGUACCUGCUUAGUGAAAAAGAAAACGUCUGGAGAAUUUAAAUAUGAAAUAGUUUCUAAAUGGAGAAAAGACUAUUUUUCCUAAGAGAGUAAAACAUCUGUGUAUUUCCAAAGCAUACUGGUUUUCUUUACCUGAGGUUAGGCAACUAUGGCUCCCUGCAGGCAAACAAGAUAAACGAUGGAACUACUUCAACAUUACCAUUAGAUUUGUCCAUUUAUGUUUAAUAACUAUUUCUUAAGGGAAAAGUUCUAAGUUCAAUUGAUUCAAAUAUAUGCAUAUAUUUGAAUUUUGAUUUUAGGAAAACAGGUCCUCACUAUAUUAACUUUUCUUUUUACCUUCUCAAAUACAAAAAUAUAAGGCUUGAUUUUAAUAAAAUGCUAAAACUCAGCAACAUAAUAGCAAGUAAUAAAUCAUCUCUUCAUAUCACCUGAGAGCCAUAAGUUGAGGAAAAGAUGAAUUAACAAAUUGGAGAAUAUAUUAUGCCUCUGUCUCCCUAUCAUGGCCCUUCCCUAUCAUGGCCCAUUUAAUUAUCUGUCUAUCUCCUCCACCAGCCACUGAAACAAGGCAUAUCCUAUAACGUGCCCACCACUGUGUCAUUUCCAUCAAGCACACACCUGACACGUGGUGGGUAGAUAUGUAGUCGACAAAGUGCUCAGUGACGCAGAAUCAUAAGAAUGGACAUAAUUAUAUGUCUGUAUAUAUAAAAUGACAUAUAAAAUCACCAUUACAUAUUAGCAAUGAUCCUUUAAAAUACCACAAAGGAAAAUGUAUCAAUAAACUAGCAUGCUCUAAGGGAACAUGCACAUGCAUGUAUACAGCAUACAACAACAGAUAAUCAUUUUAAAAGUACAAGUGGUUAGUAAAUCUCUUUUCCAAAAGAACAAAUUAAAGACAAUGCUCACUGGAAUUAGCUUAAAAAUUAGACCUGUACUCAUUCAUUUGGGGAAUAUAAAUAAUAGUGAAAGGGAAUAGAAGGGAAGGGAGAAGAAAUGGGCAGGAAAUAUCAGAAAGGGAGACAGAACAUAGAGACUCCUAACUCUGGGAAACGAACUAGGGGUGGUGGAAGGGGAGGAGGGCAGGGGGGUGGGGUGAAUGGGUGACGGGCACUGAGGGGGGCACUUGACGGGAUGAGCACUGGGUGUUAUUCUGUAUGUUGGCAAAUUGAACGCCAAUAAAAAAUAAAUUUAUUAUUAAAAAAAUAAAAAAUAUUAGACCUGUAGUUUACCAGCACGUCCUAUACAGUCCUGUUCUUACAUAGAUGGUUUGCCAGUCUGAUGUUAAUACACUGGCAGCUUUAGAUAGAAGAUGUCUGCCUGAAAGAAAACAGGGAGAGGCACUCCAGGUAUGACCUGCAUUCCACAGCGACAUCCACUCAUUGCUGUGACACCAACAUCAUUCUUAUCAUCAAUGUACACACACACACAGCAUACACACACGUACACAUAUACUUCUUUCUCCUACCAGGAUCCCACAUUUUGUCAUGACAACACUAAUCACAAAUCAAGUAGAAUCCACUAGAGCCUAAAAUGUUGAGAGGGGACCCUAGAUCUGAUG